Non-coding RNA from Danio rerio (zebrafish), 1302 nucleotides. The record is from RefSeq and is a predicted model, not a curated record. Lineage: Eukaryota; Metazoa; Chordata; Actinopteri; Cypriniformes; Danionidae.
AGAAACAUCAGACUGAAGACAGAAACACACCAGCUCUAAGAAAUGGCUCAAACUCUAUAUUUCCCUCUUCUCCUCAUUGCUCUCUGCUCCAUAUCUGAAUGUGUUCAGCGUCAGUAUCACUUUAUAAAUGAGGAGAAGAACUGGACUGAAGCUCAGAGAUACUGCAGAGAGAAAUACACAGAUCUGGCCACUGUUGACAACAUGAACGACAUGAUCCAGCUGAUGAAGAGUGUGAAUAAUGUACGUCUCUGGAUUGGUCUUCAGAAGACGAGUGAUGAUAAUUGGCAUUGGUCUUCAGGUGAUCCUGUGCUCUUUCAAAAUGGGGUCCACAACCAACUGGCAUUAAUAAUUGUACUUAUAUAUCAAAUAAACAGUGGUAUGUUCAGUCAUGUGAUGUCUCCUUGUCCUUCAUCUGCGAUAACACAAGCAAAGGCCUGGUGAUUGGCAAUCAGAACAUGAACUGGAGAGCCGCUCAGAGUUACUGCAGACAAAAUUACAAUGAUCUGGUCAGUGUGAGGAACCAGAAUGAGAGUCAACAGCUGGAGAAGUUCAUUGAAGACAGAGGUUUAUCUGGAGCUCCAGUCUGGAUCGGUCUGUUCAGACAAAUGUGGCAGUGGUCAGAUCAGAGCAACUCCUUAUUCAGAUACUGGAAACCUGGUGAACCAAAUAAUGUUGGAGGAAAUGAAAACUGUACAGCAUUUGAACCGAACACUCAGGGAAGAUGGAUAGACAUCUCUUGUGAUCGUCAGUAUCCUUUUGUGUGUCAUGAAGAUAAACUGAUUGUGGUCCAGCAGAAUCUGUCGUGGUCUGCAGCUCUGAGAUACUGCAGACAGCAUCAUGUGGAUCUGGUCUCGGUUCAGUCAGUGGAGAUGCAGCGUCGUGUGAUGAACGUGGUUAAACUGGCGUCUACUGAGGCGGUGUGGUUGGGUUUACGUCACUCCUGUGCUUUGGGCAUCUGGUUCUGGGUGAGUGGACAGACCGUGUGCUAUCAGAACUGGGCUCGAGGAAUCGGAACAUCAGAAGAGGUUUGUGAGCCCACAGUGAGAUCUGGAGCAGUUCAGUCUGGACAAGGUCAGUUCUGGAUCAGCCGUCCUGAAACUGACCAACUUAACUUCAUCUGCACUAAUUACUAGGAUUGAAAGACCUUAGGAUGUUUCUGUUUAAAAGUAUGAAUGUUACAGUUUUACUGCUUCAAAUACAUAUUUUAAGACAUCUGAAUUAGACUUUUAUUGAUACACGUAACAGGGCGAUGUGAGGGUGCAGUGGGUAGCACUCUCGCCUCACAGCAAGAAGGUUGGUGGU